GAUGAACGCUGGCGGCGUGCCUAAUACAUGCAAGUCGAGCGAACGGACGAGAAGCUUGCUUCUCUGAUGUUAGCGGCGGACGGGUGAGUAACACGUGGAUAACCUACCUAUAAGACUGGGAUAACUUCGGGAAACCGUAGCUAAUACCGGAUAAUAUUUUGAACCGCAUGGUUCAAAAGUGAAAGACGGACUUGCUGUCACUUAUAGAUGGAUCCGCGCUGCAUUAGCUAGUUGGUAAGGUAACGGCUUACCAAGGCAACGAUGCAUAGCCGACCUGAGAGGGUGAUCGGCCACACUGGAACUGAGACACGGUCCAGACUCCUACGGGAGGCAGCAGUAGGGAAUCUUCCGCAAUGGGCGAAAGCCUGACGGAGCAACGCCGCGUGAGUGAUGAAGGUCUUCGGAUCGUAAAACUCUGUUAUUAGGGAAGAACAUAUGUGUAAGUAACUGUGCACAUCUUGACGGUACCUAAUCAGAAAGCCACGGCUAACUACGUG
Molecule: ribosomal RNA, 497 nt
Filed under: uncultured bacterium
Lineage: Bacteria
Description: partial 16S ribosomal RNA
Rfam family: Bacterial small subunit ribosomal RNA
Source: RNAcentral